UCCUUAUAAAGAGACGGGGGAAGAAACUGGUCUAAUGAUCCCGCAGCAACCUUCCGUAAGGUGCUCAAUCCAGCAGAUGCAAAUCUGAAAGAUAAGGA
RNAcentral lists this non-coding RNA (98 nucleotides) under Halobacillus karajensis. RNAcentral describes it as "SAM-I sequence". It matches the Rfam family "SAM riboswitch aptamer (S box leader)". From Rfam's summary of the family: The SAM riboswitch is found upstream of a number of genes which code for proteins involved in methionine or cysteine biosynthesis in Gram-positive bacteria. The record is from Rfam by way of RNAcentral. Lineage: Bacteria; Bacillati; Bacillota; Bacilli; Caryophanales; Bacillaceae.